This 1361-nucleotide ribosomal RNA is filed under the name uncultured bacterium. RNAcentral's name for it is "bacterial SSU rRNA". It matches the Rfam family "Bacterial small subunit ribosomal RNA", at positions 28 to 1381 of the family's 1533-position model. The record is from RNAcentral.
GAUGAACGCUAGCUACAGGCUUAACACAUGCAAGUCGAGGGGCAGCAUAUAGAAAGCUUGCUUUUUAUGAUGGCGACCGGCGCACGGGUGAGUAACGCGUAUCCAACCUGCCUGUUACCAGGGCACAGCCCGGCGAAAGUCGGAUUAAUGCCCUAUGUGGUGCGAGGAUGACAUCUGAUUCGCACUAAAGAUUUUAUCGGUAACGGAUGGGGAUGCGUCUGAUUAGGUAGUCGGCGGGGUAACGGCCCACCGAGCCGACGAUCAGUAGGGGUUCUGAGAGGAAGGUCCCCCACAUUGAAACUGAGACACGGUCCAAACUCCUACGGGAGGCAGCAGUGAGGAAUAUUGGUCAAUGGGCGGUAGCCUGAACCAGCCAAGUAGCGUGAGGGAAGACGGCCCUAUGGGUUGUAAACCUCUUUAGUCGGGGAAUAAAGUUCGCGACGUGUCGCGUUUUGUAGGUACCCGAAGAAUAAGGACCGGCUAAUUCCGUGCCAGCAGCCGCGGUAAUACGGAAGGUCCUGGCGUUAUCCGGAUUUAUUGGGUUUAAAGGGAGCGCAGGCGGCCCUGUAAGCGGGCAGUGAAAUGUCGGAGCCCAACUCCGUCACUGCUGUCCGAACUGCUGGGCUUGAGUGCGCGCGAGGGAAGCGGAAUUUGUGGUGUAGCGGUGAAAUGCUUAGAUAUCACGAAGAACUCCGAUUGCGAAGGCAGCUUCCCAGAGCGCAACUGACGCUAAAGCUCGAAAGUGCGGGUAUCGAACAGGAUUAGAUACCCUGGUAGUCCACGCUGUAAACGAUGAAUACUAGGUGUGGGGGGACUGACCCCUUCCGUGCCGCAGUUAACACAAUAAGUAUUCCACCUGGGGAGUACGACCGCAAGGUUGAAACUCAAAGGAAUUGACGGGGGCCCGCACAAGCAGUGGAUUAUGUGGUUUAAUUCGAGGCAACGCGAAGAACCUUACCAGGGCUUGACAUCCAACUAACGAAGUAGAGAUACAUUAGGUGCCCUUCGGGGAAAGUUGAGACAGGUGGUGCAUGGUUGUCGUCAGCUCGUGUCGUGAGAUGUUGGGUUAAGUCCCGCAACGAGCGCAACCCUUGUUGCUAGUUGCUACGCAAGAGCACUCUAGCGAGACUGCCGUUGACAAAACGGAGGAAGGUGGGGACGACGUCAAAUCAUCAUGCCCCUUAUGUCCUGGGCUACACACGUAAUACAAUGGCGUUUAACAGAGGGAGGCAAAACCGCGAGGUGGAGCAAAUCCCCAAAAAACGUCUCAGUUCGGAUUGCAGGCUGCAACUCGCCUGCAUGAAGUCGGAAUUGCUAGUAAUCGCGGAUCAGCAUGCCGCGGUGAAUACGUUCCCGGGCCU